GCCCGCUCAAGAAACUCAACGGAAUGGACGGGGCCCGCACAAGCGGUGGAGUAUGUGGUUUAAUUCGAUGCAACGCGAAGAACCUUACCUGGUCUUGACAUCCCGGAGACCCUUAGGAAACUAGGGGGUGCUUCCAUCUGGAAGAAUCUGGAGACAGGUGCUGCAUGGCUGUCGUCAGCUCGUGUCGUGAGAUGUUGGGUUAAGUCCCGCAACGAGCGCAACCCUUGCCUUUAGUUGCCAGCAGUUCGGCUGGGCACUCUAAAGGGACUGCCGGUGUUAAACCGGAGGAAGGUGGGGAUGACGUCAAGUCCUCAUGGCCUUUAUGACCAGGGCUACACACGUACUACAAUGGCCGAUACAAAGGGCAGCGACACUGCGAGGUGAAGCCAAUCCCGUAAAAUCGGUCUCAGUCCGGAUUGGAGUCUGCAACUCGACUCCAUGAAGUUGGAAUCGCUAGUAAUCGUGGAUCAGCAUGCCACGGUGAAUACGUUCCCGGGCCUU
Molecule: ribosomal RNA, 501 nt
Filed under: uncultured Desulfobulbus sp.
Lineage: Bacteria; Pseudomonadati; Thermodesulfobacteriota; Desulfobulbia; Desulfobulbales; Desulfobulbaceae
Description: bacterial SSU rRNA
Rfam family: Bacterial small subunit ribosomal RNA
Source: RNAcentral